RNAcentral lists this unclassified non-coding RNA (180 nucleotides) under uncultured Aspergillus. RNAcentral describes it as "sequence contains ITS1". The record is from RNAcentral. Lineage: Eukaryota; Fungi; Ascomycota; Eurotiomycetes; Eurotiales; Aspergillaceae.
CCGAGUGCGGGCCCUCUGGGUCCAACCUCCCAUCCGUGUCUCUUGUACCCUGUUGCUUCGGCGGGCCCGCCUUUUGGCCGCCGGGGGGCUUCCCGCCCCCGGGCCCGCGCCCGCCGGAGACUCCAACACGAACACUGUCUGAAGGUUGCCGUCUGAGUUUUCAUAUACGAAAAAUCGUUA